UUCGCAAUGCCCGAAAGGGUGACGAAGCGACGCCGCGUGUGGGAAGAAGGCCUUCGGGUUGUAAACCACUGUCGGGAGUUAAGAAAUGCAAGGAUAUGAAUAGUAUCUUUGCUUGACUAAGGCUCCGGAGGAAGCCACGGCUAACUCUGUGCCAGCAGCCGCGGUAAGACGAAGGUGGCAAGCGUUGCUCGGAAUCACUGGGCAUAAAGCGCGCGUAGGUGGCCUUAUAAGUCGGCGGUGAAAUCCCAUCGCUCACCGAUGGAACUGCCGCCGAUACUAUAGGGCUUGAGGACGGUAGGGGAGAGUGGAACUCCUGGUGUAGCGGUGAAAUGCGUAGAUAUCGGGAGGAACGCCGGUGGCGAAAGCGAUUCUCUGGUCCUUUCCUGACACUGAGGCGCGAAAGCUAGGGGAGCAAACAGGAUUAGAUACCCUGGUAGUCCUAGCUGUAAACGAUGGGCACUAAGUAGAGGGGUUUUA
This 477-nucleotide ribosomal RNA is filed under the name uncultured anaerobic ammonium-oxidizing bacterium. RNAcentral describes it as "bacterial SSU rRNA". It matches the Rfam family "Bacterial small subunit ribosomal RNA", at positions 365 to 833 of the family's 1533-position model. The record is from RNAcentral.